RNAcentral lists this ribosomal RNA (868 nucleotides) under uncultured archaeon. Its description in RNAcentral is "bacterial SSU rRNA". It matches the Rfam family "Archaeal small subunit ribosomal RNA", at positions 1 to 878 of the family's 1478-position model. The record is from RNAcentral.
UUCCGGUUGAUUCUGCCGGACCCGACUGCUAUCAGAGUGGGACUAAGCCAUGCGAGUCAACAUAGCAAUAUGUGGCAUACGGCUCAGUAACACGUAGUCAACAUGCCCAGGGGACGUGGAUAACCUCGGGAAACUGAGGAUAAACCGCGAUAGGUCAUCACUUCUGGAAUGGGUAAUGACUUAAAUCUAUAUGGCCCCUGGAUUGGACUGCGGCCGAUCAGGCUGUUGGUGAGGUAAUGGCCCACCAAACCUGUAACCGGUACGGGCUCUGAGAGGAGGAGCCCGGAGAUGGGCACUGAGACAAGGGCCCAGGCCCUAUGGGGCGCAGCAGGCGCGAAACCUCUGCAAUAGGCGAAAGCUUGACAGGGUUACUCUGAGUGAUUUCCGUUAAGGAGAUCUUUUGGCACCUCUAAAAAUGGUGCAGAAUAAGGGGUGGGCAAGUCUGGUGUCAGCCGCCGCGGUAAUACCAGCACCCCGAGUGGUCGGGACGUUUAUUGGGCCUAAAGCAUCCGUAGCCGGUUCUACAAGUCUUCCGUUAAAUCCACCUGCUUAACAGAUGGGCUGCGGAAGAUACUAUAGAGCUAGGAGGCGGGAGAGGCAAGCGGUACUCGAUGGGUAGGGGUAAAAUCCGUUGAUCCAUUGAAGACCACCAGUGGCGAAGGCGGCUUGCCAGAACGCGCUCGACGGUGAGGGAUGAAAGCUGGGGGAGCAAACCGGAUUAGAUACCCGGGUAGUCCCAGCUGUAAACGAUGCAGACUCGGUGAUGAGUUGGCUUAUUGCUAACUCAGUGCCGCAGGGAAGCCGUUAAGUUUGCCGCCUGGGGAGUACGGUCGCAAGACUGAAACUUAAAGGGAUUGGCGGGGGAGCA